Molecule: ribosomal RNA, 2915 nt
Filed under: Halorussus gelatinilyticus
Lineage: Archaea; Methanobacteriati; Methanobacteriota; Halobacteria; Halobacteriales; Haladaptataceae
Description: Archaeal large subunit ribosomal RNA
Rfam family: Archaeal large subunit ribosomal RNA
Source: Rfam by way of RNAcentral
ACAGCGUGGCUACUGUGCCAGCUGGUGGAUGGCUCGGCUCGAGCGCCGACGACGGACGUGCCAAGCUGCGAUAAGCCCGAGGAAGCCGCACGGAGGCGAAGAACUCGGGAUCUCCGAAUGGGAAUCCCCACAGCAAUUGCCUUGCGCAAUAGGGAACGUCGAGAAUUGAAACAUCUUAGUAUCGACAGGAAAAGAAAUCGCAAGAGAUGUCGUAAGUAACUGCGAGUGAAACCGACACAGUCCAAACCGAAGCCCUCACGGGCAAUGUGGUGUCCGGACUGACACUCAGCACCCGACCACUCAAAUGAAGUCUUCUGGAACGGAGCGCGAUACAGGGUGAAAGCCCCGUAAUUUGAGUCACUACGGUGUGCGUCAGCUCCAGAGUAACAGGGAUUGGAAAUUCCUUGUGAAUAUCGCGGGCAUCGACCGCGAAGACUAAACACGACUCGAGACCGAUAGCGAACAAGUAGCGUGAGCGAACACUGAAAAGCACCCCACAACGGGAGGUGCAAUAGAGCCUGAAAUCAGUUGGCGAUCGAGCGAUGAGGCUCGAAAGGCCCUGCAACAAACGACACGAGUGCAAACUCGCAGUAGGACUUGCAGGGAGCCGGUGUCUCAUCGUACGUUUUGAAAAACGAACCAAGGAGUGUGUCUGAUUGACGAGUCUAACCGGUUCAUCCGGGAAGGCAUAGGGAAACCAACAUGGCCGCAGCACUAUGUGCGAGGGCCGCCGUCUUCAAGGGCGGGGAGUCAACCGGACACGACCCGAAACCAGAUGAUCUACGCGUGGGCAAGGUGAAGCGUGCCGAAAGGCACGUGGAGGCCUGUUAGGGAUGGUGUCCUACAAUACCCUCCCGUGACCUACGUGUAGGGGUGAAAGGCCCAUCGAAUCUGGCAACAGCUGGUUCCAACCGAAACAUGUCGAAGCAUGACCUCUGCCGAGGUAGUUCGUGAGGUAGAGCGACCGAUUAGGGGAACCAACUCCGAGAGGAGUUGGUCCCCUUGUCAAACUCCAAACUUACGAACGCCGUCGACGCAGGGAAUCCGGUGUGCGGGGUAAGCCUGUGCACCAGGAGGGGAACAACCCAGAGUCGGGUUAAGGUCCCAAAGUGUAGACUAAGUGCAAUCUGAAGGUGGUCUCAAGCCCUAGACAGCCGGGAGGUGAGCUUAGAAGCAGCUACCCUCUAAGAAAAGCGUAACAGCUUACCGGCCGAGGUUUGAGGCGCCCAAAAUGAUCGGGGCUCAAGUCUACCACCGAGACCUGACCACACCACUAACAUGGUGACUGAGUAGGUUGGCAUUCUGUUUGGAUGGAAGCUCGGGCGAGAGCUCGCGUGGACCGAACAGGAACGAAAAUCUUGGUCAUAGUAGCAGCGUUAGUCGGGUUAGAACCCCGACGGCCUUACGAGCAAGGGUUCCUCGGCAAUGCUGAUCAGCCGAGGGUUAGCCGGUCCUAAGUCUCACCGCAACUCGAAUGAGACAACAGGGAAACAGGUUAAUACUCCUGUGCCAUUAUGCAGUGAAACCAACGCCUUGGGAACCGUCAAGCCGGGCUUUCGCCCGGUCGAAUCCGGGAACUUCGUGGAAGCCGUAACGGCACGAAGCGAACGAAGCCGGAAACAGCGAAAGUUGCUACCUAGGGCCCGUGAAAAGGGAGCAUAGCGUCCGUACCGAGAUCCGACACAGGUGCUCUGGCGGCGAAAGCCAAGGCCUGUCGGGAGCAACCGACGUUAGGGAAUUCGGCAAGUUAGUCCCGUAAGUUCGCGAUAAGGGAUGCCUGCUCCGGAUAGGAGCAGGUCGCAGUGACUCGGACGCUCCGACUGUCUAGUAACAACAUAGGUGACCGCAAAUCCGCAAGGACUCGUACGGUCACUGAAUCCUGCCCAGUGCAGGUAUCUGAACACCCGGUACAACGGGGCGAAGGACCUGUUAACGGCGGGGGUAACUAUGACCCUCUUAAGGUAGCGUAGUACCUUGCCGCUUCAGUAGCGGCUUGCAUGAAUGGAUCAACGAGAGCGUCACUGUCCCAACGUUGGGCCCGGUGAACUGUACGUUCCAGUGCGGAGUCUGGAGACCCCCAAGGGGAAGCGAAGACCCUAUAGAGCUUUACUGCAGGCUGUCGCUGGGACACGGUCGCUGAUGUGCAGCAUAGGUAGGAGCCAUUACACAGGUACCCGCGCUAGCGGGCCACCGAGGCAGCAUUGAAAUACUACCCGUCAGUGACUGUGACCCUCACUCCGGGAGGAAGACACCGGUAGCCGGGCAGUUUGACUGGGGCGGUACACGCUCGAAAAGAUAUCGAGCGUGCCCCAAGAUUUCCUCAUCCGCGUCAGAAACGCGGAACAGAGCGCAAGAGCAAAAGGAAGUCUGACAGUGUCCUCCACAACGAGGGACGCUGACGCGAAAGCGUGGUCUAGCGAACCUAUCAGCCUGCUUGAUGCGGGCGAUAGAUGACAGAAAAGCUACCUUAGGGAUAACAGAGUCGUCACUCGCAAGAGCACAUAUCGACCGAGUGGCUUGCUACCUCGAUGUCGGUUCCCUCCAUCCUGCCCGUGCAGAAGCGGGCAAGGGUGAGGUUGUUCGCCUAUUAAAGGAGGUCGUGAGCUGGGUUUAGACCGUCGUGAGACAGGUCGGCUGCUAUCUAUUGGGGGUGUUACGGUAUCUGACGGGAACAAUCGUAUAGUACGAGAGGAACUACGAUUGGAUGCCACUGGUGUACCGGUCGUCCGAAAGGGCGCGUGCCGGGCAGCCACGCAUCACGGGGUAAGAGCUGAACGCAUCUAAGCUCGAAACCCACCUGGAAAAGAGAUACCACCGAGACCACUCGUAGAAGACGAGUUCAAUAGGCUCGGGAUGUACGCGCCGAGGCAACGAGGCGUUCAGUCCGCGAGUACUAACAGGUCGAGCCACACACU